AUGGGGGAAACCCUGAUGCAGCAACGCCGCGUGUAUGAAGGCCUUUGGGUUGUGAAGCCUCUGUCCUAGGGGAAGAAAAAAAUGACGGUACCCGAGGAGGAAGCCCCGGCUAACUACGUGCCAGCAGCCGCGGUAAUACGUAGGGGGCAAGCGUUAUCCGGAAUUAUUGGGCGUAAAGAGUGCGUAGGUGGUCUACUAAGCGCGAGGUGAAAGGCAAUGGCUCAACCAUUGUUAGCCUUGUGAACUGGCAGACUUGAGUGCAAGAGAGGAAAGCGGAAUUCCUAGUGUAGCGGUGAAAUGCGCAGAUAUUAGGAGGAACACCGGCGGCGAAGGCGGCUUUCUGGAUUGUAACUGACACUGAGGCACGAAAGCGUGGGUAGCAAACAGGAUUAGAUACCCUGGUAGUCCACGCCGUAAACGAUGAGCACUAGGUGUCGGGACAUGAGUCUCGGUGCCGCAGUUAACGCAAUAAGUGCUCCGCCUGGGGAGUACGCACGCAAGUGUAAAACUCAAAGGAAUUGACGGGGACCGCACAAGCAGCGGAGCAUGUGGUUUA
RNAcentral lists this ribosomal RNA (556 nucleotides) under [Eubacterium] saphenum. RNAcentral describes it as "bacterial SSU rRNA". It matches the Rfam family "Bacterial small subunit ribosomal RNA", at positions 371 to 948 of the family's 1533-position model. The record is from RNAcentral. Lineage: Bacteria; Bacillati; Bacillota; Clostridia; Peptostreptococcales; Anaerovoracaceae.